Molecule: ribosomal RNA, 959 nt
Filed under: Phycisphaerae bacterium
Lineage: Bacteria; Pseudomonadati; Planctomycetota; Phycisphaerae
Description: bacterial SSU rRNA
Rfam family: Bacterial small subunit ribosomal RNA
Source: RNAcentral
AAUUGAAGAGUUUGAUCCUGGCUCAGAUUGAACGCUGGCGGCAUGGCUAAAACAUGCAAGUCGAACGAUUAAAGCUUCUUCGGAAGUGCAUAAAGUGGCGUAAGGGCGAGGAAUAUAUUUCUAUGUACCCCUAAGUCAAGGAUAGCCCAGGGAAACUUGGAGUAAUACUUGAUGUGGUCUCCGGAUCAAAGAUUUAUCGCUUAGGGAGCAGGGAAUAUCCUAUCAGGUUGUUGGUGAGGUAACGGCUCACCAAGCCAAAGACGGGUAGCGGGUGUGAGAGCAUGACCCGCCGCAUCGGAACUGAGACACUGUCCGGACUCCUACGGGAGGCUGCAGUAACGAAUAUUCCGCAAUGAGCGAAAGCUUGACGGAGCAAUGCCGCGUGUAGGAUGAAUCUCUUCGGAGUGUAAACUACUGUCAGAGACUAGGAACUCAAUGACCAAUCUCAAAGGAAGGGCCGGCUAACUUCGUGCCAGCAGCCGCGGUAAUACGAAGGGCCCGAGCGUUAUUCGGAAUCACUGGGCUUAAAGCGUACGUAGGCUGGUAUAUAGGCGUCUUGUGAAAUCCCUCGGCUCAACCGAGGAACUGCAAGGCGAACCAUAUAUCUUGAGACAGACAGAGGUCGUCGGAACGAUUGGUGGAGUGGUGAAAUGCGUUGAUAUCAAUCGGAACGCCGAAGGAGAAGUCAGGCGACUGGGUCUGUUCUGACGCUGAGGUACGAAAGCGUGGGUAGCGAACGGGAUUAGAUACCCCGGUAGUCCACGCCGUAAACAAUGUGCACUAGGUCGAGGGCGUUCUGACGCGACUCUCGGCCGAAGCGAAAGCAUUAAGUGCACCGCCUGGGGAGUACGGUCGCAAGGCUAAAACUCAAAGGAAUUGUCGGGGGCUCACACAAGCGGUGGAGCAUGUGGCUUAAUUCGAGGCAACGCGUAGAACCUUAUCCUAGAUUUGACAUGUAU